This 354-nucleotide ribosomal RNA is filed under the name uncultured Streptococcus sp. Its description in RNAcentral is "bacterial SSU rRNA". It matches the Rfam family "Bacterial small subunit ribosomal RNA", at positions 1026 to 1382 of the family's 1533-position model. Lineage: Bacteria; Bacillati; Bacillota; Bacilli; Lactobacillales; Streptococcaceae. The record is from RNAcentral.
CAUCGGUGACAGGUGGUGCAUGGUUGUCGUCAGCUCGUGUCGUGAGAUGUUGGGUUAAGUCCCGCAACGAGCGCAACCCCUAUUGUUAGUUGCCAUCAUUCAGUUGGGCACUCUAGCGAGACUGCCGGUAAUAAACCGGAGGAAGUGGGGAUGACGUCAAAUCAUCAUGCCCCUUAUGACCUGGGCUACACACGUGCUACAAUGGUUGGUACAACGAGUUGCGAGUCGGUGACGGCGAGCUAAUCUCUUAAAGCCAAUCUCAGUUCGGAUUGUAGGCUGCAACUCGCCUACAUGAAGUCGGAAUCGCUAGUAAUCGCGGAUCAGCACGCCGCGGUGAAUACGUUCCCGGGCCUU